AAUAGAUACCCGGGUAGUCCACGCCGUAAACGAUGUCGACUUGGAGGUUGUGCCCUUGAGGCGUGGCUUCCGGAGCUAACGCGUUAAGUCGACCGCCUGGGGAGUACGGCCGCAAGGUUAAAACUCAAAUGAAUUGACGGGGGCCCGCACAAGCGGUGGAGCAUGUGGUUUAAUUCGAUGCAACGCGAAGAACCUUACCUACUCUUGACAUCCAGAGAACUUAGCAGAGAUGCUUUGGUGCCUUCGGGAACUCUGAGACAGGUGCUGCAUGGCUGUCGUCAGCUCGUGUUGUGAAAUGUUGGGUUAAGUCCCGCAACGAGCGCAACCCUUAUCCUUUGUUGCCAGCGGUUAGGCCGGGAACUCAAAGGAGACUGCCAGUGAUAAACUGGAGGAAGGUGGGGAUGACGUCAAGUCAUCAUGGCCCUUACGAGUAGGGCUACACACGUGCUACAAUGGCGCAUACAAAGAGAAGCGACCUCGCGAGAGCAAGCGGACCUCAUAAAGUGCGUCGUAGUCCGGA
Molecule: ribosomal RNA, 520 nt
Filed under: uncultured bacterium
Lineage: Bacteria
Description: bacterial SSU rRNA
Rfam family: Bacterial small subunit ribosomal RNA
Source: RNAcentral